This is a small nucleolar RNA of Gossypium raimondii (Peruvian cotton), 107 nucleotides long. It matches the Rfam family "Plant small nucleolar RNA R71". Rfam says of the family: R71 is a member of the C/D box family of snoRNAs containing the C (UGAUGA) and D (CUGA) box motifs. Multiple nearly identical copies of this snoRNA have been identified in Arabidopsis, and it is thought to function as a 2'-O-ribose methylation guide for 18S ribosomal RNA. The record is from Rfam. NCBI's taxonomy places the organism in Eukaryota, Viridiplantae, Streptophyta, Magnoliopsida, Malvales, Malvaceae.
AUCCCAUAAUGAGGACACUUACGAAGUAACUCCUUGAAUCGCUUCUAAGCCUCAUACAAAGACUCGUCAUCAACUUGUUGGAAAGUUGUGAUCCCAUUUCUUAACUU